UACGUAGGGGGCUAGCGUUGUCCGGAUUUAUUGGGCGUAAAGAGCGUGUAGGCGGCCAGGUAGGUCUGGUGUGAAAACUCGAGGCUUAACCUCGAGAUGUCAUCGGAAACCAUCUGGCUAGAGUCCGGGAGAGGGAUGCAGAAUUCCAGGUGUAGCGGUGAAAUGCGUAGAUAUCUGGAGGAAUACCGGUGGCGAAGGCGGCAUCCUGGACCGACAUUGACGCUGAGGAGCGAAAGCUAGGGGAGCAAACGGG
This 253-nucleotide ribosomal RNA is filed under the name uncultured bacterium. Its description in RNAcentral is "partial 16S ribosomal RNA". It matches the Rfam family "Bacterial small subunit ribosomal RNA", at positions 524 to 776 of the family's 1533-position model. The record is from RNAcentral.